GGGCAAGUGGUCUAGGGGUAUGAUAUCUCAUUCGCAUAAUAUUCAAAACAUGAGUCUUGAGAUGGUCCGGGGUUCAAUUCCCCGCUUGUCCA
This is a non-coding RNA of Peziza echinospora, 92 nucleotides long. Lineage: Eukaryota; Fungi; Ascomycota; Pezizomycetes; Pezizales; Pezizaceae. The record is from the annotation of a GenBank genome assembly.